GGACAGGCUACUAUGGGAUCCCAGCAGAAUGAUUGACAGUGAAGUGGAGAAAUAUUUGGAGGAGAUUCACCUUCAGUGCCUGCAGACAGCCAUAGGGGUCCAUGCAGUGCCUACAGGGGCCCAUGUACGCGAUGAUGAACAGGCUUUGUACUUGUUACUCCAAUGUGGUCACAACAAAGAAGAGGCACUUAGACGGAGGAAAAUGCAAGCAAUUCCUGCCACAGGAAC
Molecule: long non-coding RNA, 228 nt
Organism: Dreissena polymorpha
Lineage: Eukaryota; Metazoa; Mollusca; Bivalvia; Myida; Dreissenidae
Exons: 3
Source: RefSeq, a predicted model, not a curated record